GAUGAACGCUGGCGGCGUGCUUAACACAUGCAAGUCGAACGAAGCACCUUGAUUUGAUUCUUCGGAUGAAGAUCUUGGUGACUGAGUGGCGGACGGGUGAGUAACGCGUGGGUAACCUGCCUCAUACAGGGGGAUAACAGUUAGAAAUGACUGCUAAUACCGCAUAAGACCACAGCACCGCAUGGUGCAGGGGCAAAAACUCCGGUGGUAUGAGAUGGACCCGCGUCUGAUUAGGUAGUUGGUGGGGUAACGGCCUACCAAGCCGACGAUCAGUAGCCGACCUGAGAGGGUGACCGGCCACAUUGGGACUGAGACACGGCCCAAA
RNAcentral lists this ribosomal RNA (325 nucleotides) under uncultured bacterium. RNAcentral describes it as "bacterial SSU rRNA". It matches the Rfam family "Bacterial small subunit ribosomal RNA", at positions 28 to 335 of the family's 1533-position model. The record is from RNAcentral.